AAUGAACGCUAGCGGCGUGUUUAAGACAUGCAAGUUGAACGGAGAGUUAAUAGUUUACUAUGAUCUCUUAGUGGCGGACGGGUGAGUAACACGUGAACUACCUACCUAUAAGUGAAGGACAGUCCUGGGAAACUGGGUUUAAUACUUCAUGUGCAUAUAUGUAAAGGGGGCUUCGGCUCUCGCUUAUAGAUGGGUUCGCGGUCUAUCAGCUAGUUGGUGAGGUAAAGGCUCACCAAGGCGACGACGGAUAGCUGGUCUUAGAGGAUGAUCAGUCACACUGGAACUGAGACACGGUCCAGACACCUACGGGUGGCAGCAGUCGAGAAUAAUUCACAAUGGACGGAAGUCUGAUGGUGCAACGCCGCGUGGAGGAUGACGGUUUUCGGAUUGUAAACUCCUGUCAUUGCAGAGUAAGACUUAACAGUUAAUACCUGGUUAAGUUUGAGAGUAUGCAAAGAGGAAGGGACGGCUAACUUCG
This 478-nucleotide ribosomal RNA is filed under the name uncultured Haloferula sp. RNAcentral's name for it is "bacterial SSU rRNA". It matches the Rfam family "Bacterial small subunit ribosomal RNA", at positions 29 to 505 of the family's 1533-position model. Lineage: Bacteria; Pseudomonadati; Verrucomicrobiota; Verrucomicrobiia; Verrucomicrobiales; Verrucomicrobiaceae. The record is from RNAcentral.